GGGGUUGUGGCUCAGCGGUAGAGGGCUCGCCUAGCAUGUGAGGCCCUGAGUUAGAUUCUCGGCAGGCACC
RNAcentral lists this transfer RNA (70 nucleotides) under Marmota monax (woodchuck). Its description in RNAcentral is "tRNA.Ala". Lineage: Eukaryota; Metazoa; Chordata; Mammalia; Rodentia; Sciuridae. The record is from RNAcentral.